This 520-nucleotide ribosomal RNA is filed under the name uncultured Glomus. RNAcentral's name for it is "SSU rRNA". It matches the Rfam family "Eukaryotic small subunit ribosomal RNA", at positions 569 to 1091 of the family's 1831-position model. The record is from RNAcentral. Lineage: Eukaryota; Fungi; Glomeromycota; Glomeromycetes; Glomerales; Glomeraceae.
AGCAGCCGCGGUAAUUCCAGCUCCAAUAGCGUAUAUUAAAGUUGUUGCAGUUAAAAAGCUCGUAGUUGAAUUUCGGGGUUAGUAGGUUGGUCAUGCCUCUGGUAUGUACUGGUCUCACUGAUUCCUCCUUCCUGAUGAGCCGUAAUGCCAUUAAUUUGGUGUUGCGGGGAAUUUGGACUGUUACUUUGAAAAAUUAGAGUGUUUAAAGCAAGCUAACGCUUGAAUACAUUAGCAUGGAAUAAUGAAAUAGGACGUUCGAUCCUAUUUUGUUGGUUUCUAGGAUUGACGUAAUGAUUAAUAGGGAUAGUUGGGGGCAUUAGUAUUCAAUUGUCAGAGGUGAAAUUCUUGGAUUUAUUGAAGACUAACUACUGCGAAAGCAUUUGCCAAGGAUGUUUUCAUUAAUCAAGAACGAAAGUUGGGGGAUCGAAGACGAUCAGAUACCGUCGUAGUCUUAACCAUAAACUAUGCCGACUAGGGAUCGGAUGAUGUUAAUUUUUAAUGUACUCAUUCGGCGCCUUAA